This 253-nucleotide ribosomal RNA is filed under the name uncultured bacterium. Its description in RNAcentral is "partial 16S ribosomal RNA". It matches the Rfam family "Bacterial small subunit ribosomal RNA", at positions 524 to 776 of the family's 1533-position model. The record is from RNAcentral.
UACGAAGGGGGCGAGCGUUGUUCGGAAUUACUGGGCGUAAAGGGCGCGUAGGCGGCCGAUCAAGUCAGAUGUGAAAGUCCUGGGCUUAACCUGGGGACUGCAUUUGAUACUGAUUGGCUUGAAUGCAGGAGAGGAUAGCGGAAUUCCCAGUGUAGAGGUGAAAUUCGUAGAUAUUGGGAAGAACACCGGUGGCGAAGGCGGCGACCUGGUCCGAUACUGACGCUGAGGCGCGAAAGCGUGGGGAGCAAACAGG